Molecule: ribosomal RNA, 307 nt
Filed under: uncultured bacterium
Lineage: Bacteria
Description: bacterial SSU rRNA
Rfam family: Bacterial small subunit ribosomal RNA
Source: RNAcentral
GAUCCAGCAACGCCGCGUGAGGGAUGACGGCCUUCGGGUUGUAAACCUCUUUAGUACCGACGAAGCGCGAGUGACGGUAGGUACAGAAGAAGCACCGGCCAACUACGUGCCAGCAGCGGCGGUAAUACGUAGGGUGCGAGCUUGUCCGGAAUUAUUGGGCGUAAAGGGCUCGUAGGCGGUUUGUCGCGUCGGGGGUGAAAACUCGGGGCUUAACUCCGAGCCUGCUUUCGAUACGGGCAGACUAGAGGUAUGCAGGGGAAAACGGAAUUCCUGGUGUAGCGGUGAAAUGCGCAGAUAUUAGGGGGGA